AAUUAAUGAGCUUGUAAAGCAUUUGUUUUGAAAACUUAAAAAAGAAUUUAUUAAAUAUUCUAUUAAUUU
RNAcentral lists this transfer RNA (69 nucleotides) under Dasychira tristis. RNAcentral's name for it is "tRNA-Ser". The record is from RNAcentral. Lineage: Eukaryota; Metazoa; Arthropoda; Insecta; Lepidoptera; Erebidae.